AGUGAACGCUGGCGGUAGGCCUAACACAUGCAAGUCGAACGGCGGCACAGGAGAGCUUGCUCUCUGGGUGGCGAGUGGCGGACGGGUGAGGAAUACAUCGGAAUCUACUCUGUCGUGGGGGGUAACGUAGGGAAACUUACGCUAAUACCGCAUACGACCUACGGGUGAAAGCAGGGGACCUUCGGGCCUUGCGCGAUUGAAUGAGCAGAUGUCGGAUUAGCUAGUUGGCGGGGUAAAGGCCCACCAAGGCGACGAUCCGUAGCUGGUCUGAGAGGAUGAUCAGCCACACUGGAACUGAGACACGGUCCAGACUCCUACGGGAGGCAGCAGUGGGGAAUAUUGGACAAUGGGCGCAAGCCUGAUCCAGCCAUACCGCGUGGGUGAAGAAGGCCUUCGGGUUGUAAAGCCCUUUUGUUGGGAAAGAAAUCCAGCUGGCUAAUACCCGGUUGGGAUGACGGUACCCAAAGAAUAAGCACCGGCUAACUUCGUGCCAGCCGCCGCCGUAA
Molecule: ribosomal RNA, 506 nt
Filed under: uncultured bacterium
Lineage: Bacteria
Description: partial 16S ribosomal RNA
Rfam family: Bacterial small subunit ribosomal RNA
Source: RNAcentral